Ictidomys tridecemlineatus (thirteen-lined ground squirrel) is the source of this 566-nucleotide non-coding RNA. The record is from RefSeq and is a predicted model, not a curated record. Lineage: Eukaryota; Metazoa; Chordata; Mammalia; Rodentia; Sciuridae.
CCCCAAAGACUGGCACCUCAGCCUGCCAGGAGGGAAUACAUCUCGACCCACGAGACUGUACUUCAGCCCACAAGAUCGGCACUUCCGCCCGCGGGACCGCACCCUGAUUCCUGAGUACUCACGAGACCGCACCUCUUCACGCGAGACCUGCACCUCUUCACGCGAGACCUGCACCUCUUCACGCGAGACCCUACUUCAGCCCAGGAGACAGGCACUUUCACCCGUGAGAGUGCCCUUCAGCCUGAAGACCAGCACCAAGGCAAAGAAAGGCUUAACCCUCCUGGAAGAAAUGUUAAACCACCUCUGUGAGCAGUGUAGUACUAUCUGUACAUGUUCAGUGAUGUGGAGGAGGUGAGAAAGAAGCAAUUUCAAAAGAUGAUCUUUGCAAACCUGUGUGAGGAGCAAUAUGAACCUUCUCUUCACUGAUGGUGGAGAUAUCAAGCUCAGCAGAGGGUGUGCUCCCCAUACUCCUUCUCAAGACAGAAAAGCUGAAGGAAUAUUAGAGGGACAUCUGUAAGGCCACCACCUGGUUCUGCCAUAAAGUUUUGUUUGUGCUUGUCAUAUGU